UGGUCAAGUUAUUAAGGGUGCAGGGCGGAUGCUUGGCACUAGGAGCCGAUGAAGGACGUGAUAAGCUGCGAUAAGCUUCGGGGAGUUGCACGUAAACUUUG
Molecule: ribosomal RNA, 101 nt
Filed under: Clostridioides difficile
Lineage: Bacteria; Bacillati; Bacillota; Clostridia; Peptostreptococcales; Peptostreptococcaceae
Description: partial 23S ribosomal RNA
Rfam family: Bacterial large subunit ribosomal RNA
Source: RNAcentral